Molecule: ribosomal RNA, 301 nt
Filed under: uncultured bacterium
Lineage: Bacteria
Description: partial 16S ribosomal RNA
Rfam family: Bacterial small subunit ribosomal RNA
Source: RNAcentral
CAGUAGCCACGGUAAUACAGAGGGUGCGAGCGUUAAUCGGAAUUACUGGGCGUAAAGCGCACGCAGGCGGUCUGUCAAGUCAGAUGUGAAAUCCCCGGGCUUAACCUGGGAACUGCAUUUGAAACUGGCAGGCUAGAGUCUUGUAGAGGGGGGUAGAAUUCCAGGUGUAGCGGUGAAAUGCGUAGAGAUCUGGAGGAAUACCGGUGGCGAAGGCGGCCCCCUGGACAAAGACUGACGCUCAGGUGCGAAAGCGUGGGGAGCAAACAGGAUUAGAUACCCCUGUAGUCCCUGUCUCUUAUAC